RNAcentral lists this long non-coding RNA (564 nucleotides) under Gallus gallus (chicken). RNAcentral describes it as "long non-coding RNA NONGGAT005746". The record is from RNAcentral. Lineage: Eukaryota; Metazoa; Chordata; Aves; Galliformes; Phasianidae.
GUAACCAUAGCUAGUUUUACUCCUCCUUAUCACCCUGGUUUCAUCAACAGAGGUGUCACUGACUAUCUCCUGGUAAAACAAAUUACCUUGUUUGAACUGUUUGGGCUGAAAUAGAUCUACAACGAGUCGCUAUCGGUUCUAUUUACUAAACAAUUAAGUGGCAAUACUUGAAUAGUGGGAAGAAGAACAGCUUCUUCCAGCAAACCGUUUCAUCGCUUAGGUCUUUUAAUAGUUUUGUACAUAAACAGAUCUGGUUCAUUUGCUUUCAGAGCUGAAAAACGUUGAACUUCCUUCUGGGUCGGUGAAGUAAAAUUCAAGGAGCGUUUCAUCACCUUGAGUUUCUGGUUCAGAAGGUCGCUUCUGUGUUGUCAUUGACCUCAGCGUACAGAAGAGGUGACCUGGGGCUGUGAUAGCUGCCCUCCCUGCUGCUGGAAGUAAGGAAGCUCUCUGAAGGUGUAGCUCUCUCACGGUGCUGAUUGACUUCCACUCUCCCAAACCAGUCAGGAAGCCCCAUCCCAUGGCUGCAUACCACGUUCAUAGCUUCCUUGCCCAGAUGCAUCCCAG